UACAUGGUCUAGUGGCUAUGAUGCCUGGCUCUCACUCAGGAAGGCCCAGGUUCGAUUCCCAGCAUGGUAA
This is a non-coding RNA of Cordylochernes scorpioides, 70 nucleotides long. NCBI's taxonomy places the organism in Eukaryota, Metazoa, Arthropoda, Arachnida, Pseudoscorpiones, Chernetidae. The record is from the annotation of a GenBank genome assembly.